RNAcentral lists this ribosomal RNA (331 nucleotides) under uncultured bacterium. Its description in RNAcentral is "bacterial SSU rRNA". It matches the Rfam family "Bacterial small subunit ribosomal RNA", at positions 18 to 344 of the family's 1533-position model. The record is from RNAcentral.
CAUGGCUCAGAUUGAACGCUGGCGGCAUGCUUUACACAUGCAAGUCGAACGGCAGCGGGGUAGUGCUUGCACUACUGUCCGGCGAGUGGCGAACGGGUGAGUAAUAUAUCGGAACGUACCGAGUAAUGGGGGAUAACCAAUCGAAAGAUUGGCUAAUACCGCAUACGUCCUAAGGGAGAAAGCGGGGGAUCGCAAGACCUCGCGUUAUUCGAGCGGCCGAUAACUGAUUAGCUAGUUGGUGGGGUAAAGGCCUACCAAGGCGACGAUCAGUAGCGGGUCUGAGAGGACGAUCCGCCACACUGGGACUGAGACACGGCCCAGACUCCUACGG